RNAcentral lists this ribosomal RNA (392 nucleotides) under uncultured bacterium. Its description in RNAcentral is "partial 16S ribosomal RNA". It matches the Rfam family "Bacterial small subunit ribosomal RNA", at positions 523 to 918 of the family's 1533-position model. The record is from RNAcentral.
AUACGGAGGAUCCGAGCGUUAUCCGGAUUUAUUGGGUUUAAAGGGUGCGCAGGCGGCCAUUUAAGUCAGCGGUUAAAUCGUGGGGCUCAACCCCAUUCUGCCGUUGAUACUGGGUGGUUUGAUUGCGGUCGAGGUUGGCGGAAUUCGUUGUGUAGCGGUGAAAUGCAUAGAUAUGACGAAGAACACCGAUUGCGUAGGCAGCUGACCAGACCGCAAAUGACGCUCAUGCACGAAAGUGCGGGGAUCGAACAGGAUUAGAUACCCUGGUAGUCCGCACAGUAAACGAUGAAUACUUGUUUUCGGCGAUAUAAUGUCGGAGGCAAAGCGAAAGCGAUAAGUAUUCCACCUGGGGAGUACGCCGGCAACGGUGAAACUCAAAUGAAUUGACGGGG